AUUUAUAUAAUAUAUUUAGUAUAUUUGACUUCCAAUCAAAAAGUUUUUAUUUAAAUA
RNAcentral lists this transfer RNA (57 nucleotides) under Phthiridium sp. A GC-2023a. Its description in RNAcentral is "tRNA-Gly". Lineage: Eukaryota; Metazoa; Arthropoda; Insecta; Diptera; Nycteribiidae. The record is from RNAcentral.